This 473-nucleotide ribosomal RNA is filed under the name uncultured bacterium. RNAcentral's name for it is "bacterial SSU rRNA". It matches the Rfam family "Bacterial small subunit ribosomal RNA", at positions 359 to 828 of the family's 1533-position model. The record is from RNAcentral.
CCNGGAGAAUGGGCCGGAACCUGAUCCAGCCAUGCCGCGUGCGGGAAGAAGGCCUUCGGGUUGUAAACCGCUUUUGUCAGGGAAGAAAAGGUUCUGGCUAAUACCUGGGACUCAUGACGGUACCUGAAGAAUAAGCACCGGCUAACUACGUGCCAGCAGCCGCGGUAAUACGUAGGGUGCAAGCGUUAAUCGGAAUUACUGGGCGUAAAGCGUGCGCAGGCGGUUAUGCAAGACAGAGGUGAAAUCCCCGGGCUCAACCUGGGAACUGCCUUUGUGACUGCAUGGCUAGAGUACGGUAGAGGGGGAUGGAAUUCCGCGUGUAGCAGUGAAAUGCGUAGAUAUGCGGAGGAACACCGAUGGCGAAGGCAAUCCCCUGGACCUGUACUGACGCUCAUGCACGAAAGCGUGGGGAGCANACAGGAUUAGAUACCCUGGUAGUCCACGCCCUAAACGAUGUCAACUGGUUGUUGGGA